This 84-nucleotide transfer RNA is filed under the name Caulobacter phage CcrBL9. It matches the Rfam family "tRNA". From Rfam's summary of the family: Transfer RNA (tRNA) molecules are approximately 80 nucleotides in length. Lineage: Duplodnaviria; Heunggongvirae; Uroviricota; Caudoviricetes; Jeanschmidtviridae. The record is from Rfam by way of RNAcentral. RNAcentral also lists the same sequence under 6 other names.
GGGCGAGUAGCCGAGUGGUUAAAGGCACCUGACUCUUAAUCAGGCGUGAGAAAUCCUACGUGGGUUCGAAUCCCACCUCGCCCU